AGGAUGAACGCUAGCGACAGGCCGUAACACAUGCAAGUCGAGGGGCGAGCACAAGGAGCAAUCUGAGGUGGCGACCGGCGCACGGGUGAGUAACACGUAUGCAACCUGCCUGUAAGCGGGGAAUAACCCGUUGAAAGACGGACUAAUACCGCAUAAUACUAAAUUACUGCAUGGUAAUUUAUUUAAACAUUUAGUGGCUUACAGAUGGGCAUGCGCAUGAUUAGCUAGUUGGAGAGGUAACGGCUCCCCAAGGCAACGAUCAUUAGGGGUUCUGAGAGGAAGGUCCCCCCACACUGGUACUGAGACACGGACCAGACUCCUACGGGAGGCAGCAGUGAGGAAUAUUGGUCAAUGGACGAGAGUCUGAACCAGCCAAGUCGCGUGCAGGAAGAAUUGUCCUAUGGAUUGUAAACUGCUUUUGCAGGGGAAUAAAGUGCAUCACGUGUGAUGUUUUGUAUGUACUCUGCGAAUAAGGAUCGGCUAACUCCGUGCCAGCCGCGGC
This 502-nucleotide ribosomal RNA is filed under the name uncultured bacterium. Its description in RNAcentral is "bacterial SSU rRNA". It matches the Rfam family "Bacterial small subunit ribosomal RNA", at positions 26 to 518 of the family's 1533-position model. The record is from RNAcentral.